GAGCAUGGCCCGGGGUCCGCUGGCCGCCGGCGGACUCCGGCUGCUGCUGCCGCUCCUUCCGCUGCCGCAGGUGGCGCUGGGCUUCGCGGACGGCAGCUGCGACCCCUCGGACCAGUGCCCGCCCCAGGCCCGCUGGAGCAGCCUGUGGCACGUGGGGUAAGUGGAGGCCGCGGCGGAGCCGUGCGUCCGACGAUUCUGGGGCGGGGGUCACCGGGGCCAGGCCCGCCAGGCCCUUACCUCACCAGGCCGCCUCCGCUGUCGUCCAGUCCCGGCCGCUGGCGGGAACUGACCUCGAGCAAGCAGGACCUUCCCUCCCACCUCUCCCGCCUGGCCUCCGCGGGAGUCCCCUACGAUCCCGCUCAGCAGUGGGGCAGUCGCUGAGGACAGCGAGUGCUGGGAGUGAGCCCAAGGCCACCCCUGGCCAGCCCGGGAGAGACAGCCAGGGCAGGCCCAGCAGCCCGAGGCCAGGCUCUGGCCACGGCGGUCUCCGACAUGGAGAGACAUUGUCUGCUUUUUAUCCUGUUAACCUGUCUUCGGUGGUUGUGCCACGACAUUCCCCAGGGUGCAGGUGCCCGGUGGCCGAGGGUCAGUCCAGUGGUAGAGCCUUGCUCUCCUAGGCUCAUCCUGCUGGCGGUCCUCCUGCUUCUGCUGUGUGGUGUCACAGCUGGUUGUGUCCGGUUCUGCUGCCUCCGGAAGCAGGCACAGGCCCAGCCACAUCUGCCACCAGCACGGCAGCCCUGCGACGUGGCAGUCAUCCCUAUGGACAGCGACAGCCCUGUACACAGCACUGUGACCUCCUACAGCUCCGUGCAGUACCCACUGGGCAUGCGGUUGCCCCUGCCCUUUGGGGAGCUGGACCU
Molecule: small RNA, 860 nt
Filed under: Pan troglodytes (chimpanzee)
Lineage: Eukaryota; Metazoa; Chordata; Mammalia; Primates; Hominidae
Description: retained intron
Source: RNAcentral